RNAcentral lists this ribosomal RNA (1408 nucleotides) under metagenome. RNAcentral describes it as "bacterial SSU rRNA". It matches the Rfam family "Bacterial small subunit ribosomal RNA". The record is from RNAcentral.
CAUGCAAGUCGAACGGUAACGGGCCUUCGGGUGCCGACGAGUGGCGAACGGGUGAGUAAUGUAUCGGAACGUACCUUUCAGUGGGGGAUAACGUAGCGAAAGUUACGCUAAUACCGCAUAUUCUGUGAGCAGGAAAGCAGGGGAUCGCAAGACCUUGCGCUGAUUGAGCGGCCGAUAUCAGAUUAGCUAGUUGGUGAGGUAAAGGCUCACCAAGGCGACGAUCUGUAGCGGGUCUGAGAGGAUGAUCCGCCACACUGGAACUGAGACACGGUCCAGACUCCUACGGGAGGCAGCAGUGGGGAAUUUUGGACAAUGGGGGCAACCCUGAUCCAGCCAUGCCGCGUGAGUGAAGAAGGCCUUCGGGUUGUAAAGCUCUUUCGGCCGGGAAGAAAUCGUAUGGGUUAAUACCCUGUGCGGAUGACGGUACCGGCAUAAGAAGCACCGGCUAACUACGUGCCAGCAGCCGCGGUAAUACGUAGGGUGCGAGCUUAAUCGGAAUUACUGGGCGUAAAGCGUGCGCAGGCGGUUUUGUAAGACAGGCGUGAAAUCCCCGGGCUCAACCUGGGAACUGCGCUUGUGACUGCAAGGCUAGAGUACGGCAGAGGGGGGUGGAAUUCCACGUGUAGCAGUGAAAUGCGUAGAGAUGUGGAGGAACACCAAUGGCGAAGGCAGCCCCCUGGGUCGAUACUGACGCUCAUGCACGAAAGCGUGGGUAGCAAACAGGAUUAGAUACCCUGGUAGUCCACGCCCUAAACGAUGUCAACUAGGUGUUGGGUGGGUAAAACCAUUUAGUACCGGAGCUAACGCGUGAAGUUGACCGCCUGGGGAGUACGGCCGCAAGGUUAAAACUCAAAGGAAUUGACGGGGACCCGCACAAGCGGUGGAUGAUGUGGAUUAAUUCGAUGCAACGCGAAAAACCUUACCUACCCUUGACAUGUCCAGGAGCCUGAAGAGAUUUGGGUGUGCCCGAAAGGGAACUGGAACACAGGUGCUGCAUGGCUGUCGUCAGCUCGUGUCGUGAGAUGUUGGGUUAAGUCCCGCAACGAGCGCAACCCUUGUCGUUAAUUGCCAUCAUUUAGUUGGGCACUUUAACGAGACUGCCGGUGACAAACCGGAGGAAGGUGGGGAUGACGUCAAGUCCUCAUGGCCCUUAUGGGUAGGGCUUCACACGUCAUACAAUGGUCGGUACAAAGGGUCGCCAACCCGCGAGGGGGAGCCAAUCCCAGAAAGCCGAUCGUAGUCCGGAUCGUAGGCUGCAACUCGCCUGCGUGAAGUCGGAAUCGCUAGUAAUCGUGGAUCAGCAUGUCACGGUGAAUACGUUCCCGGGUCUUGUACACACCGCCCGUCACACCAUGGGAGCGGGUUCCGCCAGAAGUAGGUAGCCUAACCGCAAGGGGGGCGCUUACCA